AGGAAUUUUAUCAUGAUUCUAUUGUGCAUCUAAUGUUAUGCAUCUACUGUGCACAUUGGAUCUUCCAUUUGUGAAGGUGGAGAAAAAACAUACAGAGCCAAACACCUUUUAUUUAUUGAGUUUGAUCUUGUCCCCAAGAAGAUUUUCUUUGCAUAUAUUGCUUCUUGCAAUUCAAUGAAGUGGUGGUCAUUUUUUGUUGUUGCAAUUAUCUUGUUCCUACAUGAAGUCCAUAGUAUUUAUUUGUUACCUUAAGAGAAAGAAUUUAACUAUAAAUUUUUUGGGUACCAAUUUUAUUAAAUAUUCCUUGCAAUACUUGUAGCUAACUCAAUAUGGUGAUUUUUGUAUCCCGCAAAUACUGGUGAAGUUAAGCAAGGUUUUGACUUUGUUGCAAAAGAGCCCACAAAGCCUAAUUUACUAAAUGAGAUCAACCUUGCACAAGCACCCCUUCAAACAACUACCUGUUACCAAAUCCACUUGUAAGAUUAGAAGUUCUCUUAUUUAUAAACACAUUUUUGACCAUAUCUCAUAAUGGCCCAAAUGGUUUGAAAGAGAUGACUUGAUA
This 562-nucleotide long non-coding RNA is filed under the name Cicer arietinum (chickpea). Its description in RNAcentral is "long non-coding RNA (CARI_LNC002912)". Lineage: Eukaryota; Viridiplantae; Streptophyta; Magnoliopsida; Fabales; Fabaceae. The record is from RNAcentral.